GCCAAGAGUAGAAGCGUUCACCGGCCUGGUGCGGCCGGCCGGAAAUUGCUCUUGAA
This 56-nucleotide non-coding RNA is filed under the name unclassified sequences. Its description in RNAcentral is "Xanthine-I sequence". It matches the Rfam family "Xanthine riboswitch aptamer (NMT1 RNA)". From Rfam's summary of the family: Later it was reported as a ncRNA that recognised Xanthine. The record is from Rfam by way of RNAcentral.